CUACGGGUUGCAGCAGUCGAGAAUCAUUCGCAAUGCGCGAAAGCGUGACGAUGCGACGCCGCGUGCAUGAUGAAGCUCUUCGGAGUGUAAAGUGCUUUUCUAAAGGAUGAAGUUAUUGACAGUACUUUAGGAAUAAGGGGUUGCUAAACUCGUGCCAGCAGCCGCGGUAAUACGAGUGCCCCAAGCGUUGUCCGGAAUCACUGGGCGUAAAGGGUGCGUAGGAGGAGCUGUUAGUCCUGCUUUAAAUUUUUCCGCUUAACGGAAAAAGUGGGUAGGAUACGGCAGCACUGAGAGGAUGCGAGAGGUCUACUGAACUCUGGGUGUAGGGGUGAAAUCCGUUGAUAUCCAGGGGAACACCAAAAGCGAAGGCAGUAGACUGGCGCAUUCCUGACUCUGAGGCACGAAAGCGUGGGUAGCGAAAGGGAUUAGAUACCCUAGUAGUC
This 443-nucleotide ribosomal RNA is filed under the name uncultured bacterium. RNAcentral describes it as "partial 16S ribosomal RNA". It matches the Rfam family "Bacterial small subunit ribosomal RNA", at positions 339 to 795 of the family's 1533-position model. The record is from RNAcentral.